Molecule: ribosomal RNA, 401 nt
Filed under: uncultured bacterium
Lineage: Bacteria
Description: bacterial SSU rRNA
Rfam family: Bacterial small subunit ribosomal RNA
Source: RNAcentral
AACACAUGCAAGUCGAACGGAGUAGAAAUACUUAGUGGCGGACGGGUGAGUAACGCGUGAGAAUCUGCCUUCAGGACGGAGACAACAGUUGGAAACGACUGCUAAGCCCCGAUGAACCGAAAGGGAAAAUAUUUAUAGCCUGAAGAUGAGCUCGCGUCCGAUUAGCUAGUUGGCGGAGUAAAAGCCCACCAAGGCGACGAUGGCUAGGGGUUCUGAGAGGAUGAUCCCCCACACUGGUACUGAGAUACGGACCAGACUCCUACGGGAGGCAGCAGUAGGGAAUAUUGGGCAAUGGACGAGAGUCUGACCCAGCCAUGCCGCGUGAAGGAUGAAGGCCUCCGGGUUGUAAACUUCUUUUAUCUGGGAAGAAAUGCCUGUUUUCUAACGGGUUUGACGGUACC